Long non-coding RNA from Erinaceus europaeus (western European hedgehog), 554 nucleotides. RefSeq lists it as uncharacterized. The record is from RefSeq and is a predicted model, not a curated record. The transcript has 4 exons. NCBI's taxonomy places the organism in Eukaryota, Metazoa, Chordata, Mammalia, Eulipotyphla, Erinaceidae.
GGUCUGUCUGCUGUAACUGAUGCUCCAUUGAACAUGGGCGUUGAUGUUGAAUCCAUACCCCCAGCCGGCUUCUCUUUUCCUAAUGGGUGCUUGCCUACUUGCCACUUUUCUUGGUGUUUCUUCAGUGCUUAGCAGAAAUGGAUUUACCAUGAAGCCAAUAAAAUGCUCAUUGUCCUUCAUUGUUCAAGACUUCUGUGCACCCUGCACCUUGCACCCGACUGAACUCAGUGCCAAUAGAUCCCUCAAAUAAAACAUCAAUGUGACUGUUGUCCUCAGUUUGCCAAAGACUGUGUAUCUUCCAUGAGCUUAUAUAAACAAUUCCAGCAUGAUUUAAUAUGCUUCCACUUGCCUUUUUGCGGGUGAAUAUGUUUUUCUGGGUUAGGAUAAUGUUUUGUUUUAUUUUUUAAUUUCUUUAUUGGAGGAUUAAUGUUUGACAGUCGACAGUAAACACAAUAAUUUGUCCAUGAAUAACAAUUCCCAGUUUUCCACAUAACAAUGCAACCCCUGCUAGGUCCUCUGGCAUCAUGUUCCAGGACCUGACCCCUCCCCCAAAC